UUCGGGCGGAAGAUGAUUAACUUAGCGGCGGAUGGGUGAGUAACGCGUGGGCAACCUGCCUCGAAGACCGGGAUAACAGUUCGAAAGGGCUGCUAAUACCGGAUGUGGUCAAGUGUCAGCAUGGGCAUUUGAUUAAAGGGGAAACCCGUUUCGAGAUGGGCCCGCGUCCUAUCAGCUAGUUGGUGAGGUAAAGGCUCACCAAGGCAAUGACGGGUAGCCGGCCUGAGAGGGUGACCGGCCACACUGGAACUGAGACACGGUCCAGACUCCUACGGGGGGCAGCAGUGGGGAAUCUUCCACAAUGGGCGAAAGCCUGAUGGAGCGACGCCGCGUGAGCGAAGAAGGCCUUCGGGUUGUAAAGCUCUGUCUGGAGGGACGAAGAAAGUGACGGUACCUCCGGAGGAAGCCACGGCUAACUACGUGCCAGCAGCCGCGGUAAUACGUAGGUGGCGAGCGUUGUCCGGAAUCACUGGGCGUAAAGGGCGCGCAGGCGGCGUGUCAAGUCGGACGUGAAAACCCCUGGCUCAACUGGGGG
This 535-nucleotide ribosomal RNA is filed under the name uncultured bacterium. Its description in RNAcentral is "bacterial SSU rRNA". It matches the Rfam family "Bacterial small subunit ribosomal RNA", at positions 79 to 619 of the family's 1533-position model. The record is from RNAcentral.